RNAcentral lists this ribosomal RNA (844 nucleotides) under Chryseobacterium ginsenosidimutans. RNAcentral's name for it is "bacterial SSU rRNA". It matches the Rfam family "Bacterial small subunit ribosomal RNA", at positions 56 to 899 of the family's 1533-position model. Lineage: Bacteria; Pseudomonadati; Bacteroidota; Flavobacteriia; Flavobacteriales; Weeksellaceae. The record is from RNAcentral.
UGCAGCCGAGCGGUAGGUUUCCUUCGGGAGACUGAGAGCGGCGCACGGGUGCGGAACACGUGUGCAACCUGCCUUUAUCAGGGGGAUAGCCUUUCGAAAGGAAGAUUAAUACCCCAUAAUAUAAUGAGUGGCAUCACUUAUUAUUGAAAACUCCGGUGGAUAGAGAUGGGCACGCGCAAGAUUAGAUAGUUGGUAGGGUAACGGCCUACCAAGUCAGUGAUCUUUAGGGGGCCUGAGAGGGUGAUCCCCCACACUGGUACUGAGACACGGACCAGACUCCUACGGGAGGCAGCAGUGAGGAAUAUUGGACAAUGGGUGAGAGCCUGAUCCAGCCAUCCCGCGUGAAGGACGACGGCCCUAUGGGUUGUAAACUUCUUUUGUAUAGGGAUAAACCAUUCUACGUGUAGAAUGCUGAAGGUACUAUACGAAUAAGCACCGGCUAACUCCGUGCCAGCAGCCGCGGUAAUACGGAGGGUGCAAGCGUUAUCCGGAUUUAUUGGGUUUAAAGGGUCCGUAGGCGGAUCUGUAAGUCAGUGGUGAAAUCUCAUAGCUCAACUAUGAAACUGCCAUUGAUACUGCAGGUCUUGAGUAAGGUAGAAGUAGCUGGAAUAAGUAGUGUAGCGGUGAAAUGCAUAGAUAUUACUUAGAACACCAAUUGCGAAGGCAGGUUACUAUGUCUUAACUGACGCUGAUGGACGAAAGCGUGGGGGAGCGAACAGGAUUAGAUACCCUGGUAGUCCACGCCCGUAAACGAUGCUAACUCGUUUUUGGGUCUUCCGGAUUCAGAGACUAAGCGAAAGUGAUAAAGUUAGCCACCUGGGGGAGUACGUUCGCAAGAAUGAAA